GACGAACGCUGGCGGCGUGCCUAACACAUGCAAGUCGAACGAAGAAUGUUUUCGGAAUAUUCUUAGUGGCGGACGGGUGAGUAACGCGUGAACAAUCUGCCCCGUACAAAGGGAUAGCCUCGGGAAACCGGGAUUAAAACCAUAUAACACUUAACUGCCGCAUGGUAGUGAAGUCAAAUCGAUUAAGAGGUAUGGGAUGAGUUCGCGUCUGAUUAGCUAGUUGGUGAGGUAAGGGCUCACCAAGGCGACGAUCAGUAGCCGGCCUGAGAGGGUGAACGGCCACACUGGAACUGAGACACGGUCCAGACUCCUACGGGAGGCAGCAGUGGGGAAUAUUGCACAAUGGAGGGAACUCUGAUGCAGCGACGCCGCGUGAGUGAAGAAGGUCUUCGGAUCGUAAAACUCUGUCCUUGGUGAAGAAAAGGACGGUAGCCAAGGAGGAAGCCCCGGCUAACUACGUG
RNAcentral lists this ribosomal RNA (461 nucleotides) under uncultured bacterium. Its description in RNAcentral is "bacterial SSU rRNA". It matches the Rfam family "Bacterial small subunit ribosomal RNA", at positions 28 to 507 of the family's 1533-position model. The record is from RNAcentral.